RNAcentral lists this ribosomal RNA (218 nucleotides) under uncultured Vexilliferidae. Its description in RNAcentral is "partial Bacterial large subunit ribosomal RNA". It matches the Rfam family "Bacterial large subunit ribosomal RNA", at positions 643 to 863 of the family's 2925-position model. The record is from RNAcentral. Lineage: Eukaryota; Discosea; Flabellinia; Dactylopodida; Vexilliferidae.
AGGUUAACCGUUUAGGGGAGCCGUAGGGAAACCGAGUCUGAAUAGGGCGAUUUAGUCGCUGGGCAUAGACCCGAAACCGGGCGAUCUAACCAUGAGCAGGUUGAAGAUUGAGUAACAUCAAUUGGAGGACCGAACCCACUUAUUUGAAAAAUGAGGGGAUGACUUGUGGCUAGGAGUGAAAGGCUAAUCAAGCCCGGAGAUAGCUGGUUCUCCUCGAA